GACGAACGCUGGCGGCGUGCUUAACACAUGCAAGUCGAACGGAAAGGCCCUGCUUUUGUGGGGUUCUCGAGUGGCGAACGGGUGAGUAACACGUGAGUAACCUGCCCUUGACUUUGGGAUAACUUCAGGAAACUGGGGCUAAUACCGGAUAGGAGCUCCUGCUGCAUGGUGGGGGUUGGAAAGUUUCGGCGGUUGGGGAUGGACUCGGGGCUUAUCAGCUUGUUGGGGGGGUAGUGGCUUACCAAGGCUUUGACGGGUAGCCGGCCUGGGAGGGUGACCGGCCACAUUGGGCCUGAGAUACGGCCCAGACUCCUACGGGAGGCAGCGGGGGAGAAUAUUGCACAAUGGGGGGAAGCCUGAGGCAGAAACGCCGCGUGCGGGAAGACGGCCUUCGGGUGGUAAACCGCUUUCGCCUGUGACGAAGCGUGAGUGACGGUAAUGGGUAAAGAAGCACCGGCUAACUACGU
Molecule: ribosomal RNA, 467 nt
Filed under: uncultured bacterium
Lineage: Bacteria
Description: partial 16S ribosomal RNA
Rfam family: Bacterial small subunit ribosomal RNA
Source: RNAcentral